GCUGCUGGGACUAAUGAUGAAUCAGGCCAGACAGGCAGCAGAGAAGUGUCUGGAACGUCUCCGUCUACUUGCACAGUGACAGAGUUGCCGGGGAUGAUGCUGUUUCAGGCUGAUUAAUUUGAGUGGCUGGUCCAGUCUUGAAGAAGAAGUGUAAGGUUGGGGUGGGGGAGUUGAGCUGUGUGGGCUCUGACAUUGUCCUUUAUUAUCAGAGAACCUUAGCGGCAGCAGUCUCAAGCAAAUGAGACAGUCCCCCUGGGGAGGAUGGCAGUGGAGAGCUUCUCUUCAGCAUGUCAUAUUACAGCUGCAGGUACUUCGUGACAGCUUGCACAAAGAUGAGGAAUAGCAGAGGACAAUGGGGAGGGAUGGAGGUUCAGGCCAUGAAGUAACAAUGGACUUGGAUUAUGGAACAGAGCCGACAGAGGGAGGAGCCUUUAUGAGGGCAAGAGGAACAAGGGGAUGACCAGCCAAAGAGGAGCCAGGAGAGAUCCAUUUUAUACACUAAAUUUUAUUUAAUUUAUAAAGCCUUUCACCCGCAUCAUCUGUAAAAACAUAUUAGCUCACUGUCUGGCGACAUGUUUAUGCUGACUUGUAAUUAAAAAAAAGUUUGUUUUCCCAA
This is a long non-coding RNA of Carassius carassius (crucian carp), 616 nucleotides long. RefSeq lists it as uncharacterized. The record is from RefSeq and is a predicted model, not a curated record. The transcript is spliced from 2 exons. NCBI's taxonomy places the organism in Eukaryota, Metazoa, Chordata, Actinopteri, Cypriniformes, Cyprinidae.